GUUCGCAGCUGUUGUCGCUGAGGCCGCAGUCGUCUUUCCAGGCCUACAGGAUUUGGCUUCCAGCCCCUGCUGCCUUUAUCAGCUGUCUGAGCUUAGCAUGUUACUUUACCGCUAUCCCAAUACCUUCAUUUGUAAAUGGACAGGGUUCCUUUUGUUCUUUUAUUUUGUUUGUGUUUAAAAAUGUGUAAUGCAGAAGAAUGUAAUUGAACCCUUACCUUACACCGCGUAUAAAAAUUAACGCAAAAUGAAUCAAAGACCUAACUAUAAAGGCUAAAAUUAAAACUCUUAGAAGAAAACAGAGCAAAAACUUCAUAACAUUGGACUUGGUAUGAUUUCUUGGAUAUGAUACCAAAAGCAGUUUGGGAUGAUGAAAACGUUCUGGAAAUAGUGGUGGAUGGAUGCACAAGGUGAAGGUACUUAAUGCCACAAUACUGUAAAGUUAAAAACGGUUAAAAUGCUAAAUUUUGUUAUGUAUAUUUUACUACGACAAAAAUAUUACGUUUCAUGCAUAUGAAAGAAUAUAACGUGUAAUGUAAAGAUAAAAACAAACAUCCGUGUAACCAGCACUACAUGGGGAUAUGGAUCAUUUUUAUAUAUAACUCUUGGGUACCCCUCUGAAUGGUAUCCUCCUCCUCCAAAGAAUAACCACUCUUCUGAUUUUAUGUGUAUCAUUCCUGUGGUUUUCUACCUUGAUAUAGCCCCAAAUAAUGUAUUGAUUAUUGUAUGUUUCUAAACUUUAUAUGAUAUUUGGUAGGUAUGCUGCAAGUGCCCUUUCUUACUAAAGCUAUUGCUUUUAUUUUUUAUUUAUUUUAUUUUUCCAUAAAUUAUUGGGGUGCAGGUGCUAUUUGGUUACAUGAGUAAGUUCUUUUUUUUUUUUUUUUUUUUUUUUUGAGUUGGAGUUUUGCUCUGUCGACCAGGCUGGAGUGCAGUGGCCUGAUUUUGGCUCACUGCAAGCUCUGCCUCCCGGGUUCAUGCCAUUCUCCUGCCUCAACCUCCGAAGUAGCUGGGACUACAGGGGCCCGCCACCACGCCCG
RNAcentral lists this long non-coding RNA (1034 nucleotides) under Homo sapiens (human). RNAcentral describes it as "non-protein coding lnc-PRIMPOL-5:1". Lineage: Eukaryota; Metazoa; Chordata; Mammalia; Primates; Hominidae. The record is from RNAcentral.